AGCCCUAGAUAAUAUUUAAGGUGUAACCUGCCCAAUGAUUUUUAAAUUAAAAUUUAUAAAAAUAAUUUAAUAAAAUUUAAAGGACGCAGUAACCUUGACUGUGAUAAUGUAGCAUAAUCACUCGCCAUUUAAUUGAUGGAUAGUAUGAAUGGUUGAACGAAUAUUCCACUGUCUUAAAGAGAAAUACCAAAAAAUUGAAAUAAUAGUUAAGAUGCUAUUUAAAAUUGUAAGACGAAAAGACCCUAUAGAGCUUAACUAUAACCUCUUUUAAACAUUAGAAAAGAAAUUCAAAAAAAAAAGAGGCUGGUAGUUUAGUUGGGGCGACUAUCUUCUAAAUAUAACGAAGAGAAGCAAAGUUAAUAAAAAACUUAUUGUAUAAUAAAUUAAUUUAACAAUUACAAAAGUAGGCUAUAAUGACCCGUUAUAUAUUAAUAAAAAUCAUAACGAUCAAUAAAUAAAAGCUACCUUAGGGAUAACAGGAUAAUUUCAUUCUAGAGAUCAUAUCGAAAAUGAAGUUUGUCACCUCUAUGUUGAAUUAAGAUAUCCCGACAAUGCAGAAGUUGUCAAAGGUGGGUCUGUUCAACCUUUAAAAUCUUA
RNAcentral lists this ribosomal RNA (597 nucleotides) under Modeeria rotunda. RNAcentral describes it as "partial 16S ribosomal RNA". It matches the Rfam family "Bacterial large subunit ribosomal RNA", at positions 1832 to 2598 of the family's 2925-position model. Lineage: Eukaryota; Metazoa; Cnidaria; Hydrozoa; Leptothecata; Tiarannidae. The record is from RNAcentral.